Molecule: ribosomal RNA, 492 nt
Filed under: uncultured bacterium
Lineage: Bacteria
Description: partial 16S ribosomal RNA
Rfam family: Bacterial small subunit ribosomal RNA
Source: RNAcentral
AGUGAACGCUGGCGGUAGGCCUAACACAUGCAAGUCGAACGGCAGCACAGUAAGAGCUUGCUCUUACGGGUGGCGAGUGGCGGACGGGUGAGGAAUACAUCGGAAUCUACUUUUUCGUGGGGGAUAACGUAGGGAAACUUACGCUAAUACCGCAUACGACCUACGGGUGAAAGCAGGGGAUCUUCGGACCUUGCGCGAUUGAAUGAGCCGAUGUCGGAUUAGCUAGUUGGCGGGGUAAAGGCCCACCAAGGCGACGAUCCGUAGCUGGUCUGAGAGUAUGAUCAGCCACACUGGAACUGAGACACGGUCCAGACUCCUACGGGAGGCAGCAGUGGGGAAUAUUGGACAAUGGGCGCAAGCCUGAUCCAGCCAUACCGCGUGGGUGAAGAAGGCCUUCAGGUUGUAAAGCCCUUUUGUUGGGAAAGAAAAGCAGCAGGUUAAUACCCCGCUGUUCUGACGGUACCCAAAGAAUAAGCACCGGCUAACUUCGUG